Molecule: ribosomal RNA, 671 nt
Filed under: uncultured bacterium
Lineage: Bacteria
Description: bacterial SSU rRNA
Rfam family: Bacterial small subunit ribosomal RNA
Source: RNAcentral
UUCUGGACUGACACUGACACUGAGGUGCGAAAGCGUGGGUAGCAAACAGGAUUAGAUACCCUGGUAGUCCACGCCGUAAACGAUGUCGACCAGCCGUUGGGUGCCUAGCGCACUUUGUGGCGAAGUUAACGCGAUAAGUCGACCGCCUGGGGAGUACGGCCGCAAGGUUAAAACUCAAAUGAAUUGACGGGGGCCCGCACAAGCGGUGGAGCAUGUGGUUUAAUUCGAUGCAACGCGAAGAACCUUACCUACUCUUGACAUCCUGCGAACUUGUGGGAGAUCACUUGGUGCCUUCGGGAGCGCAGAGACAGGUGCUGCAUGGCUGUCGUCAGCUCGUGUUGUGAAAUGUUGGGUUAAGUCCCGUAACGAGCGCAACCCUUGUCCUUAUUUGCCAGCGGGUAAUGCCGGGAACUCUAAGGAGACUGCCGGUGACAAACCGGAGGAAGGUGGGGACGACGUCAAGUCAUCAUGGCCCUUACGAGUAGGGCUACACACGUGCUACAAUGGCCGGUACAAAGGGUUGCGAGCUCGCGAGAGUCAGCUAAUCCCGAAAAGCCGGUCUCAGUCCGGAUCGGAGUCUGCAACUCGACUCCGUGAAGUCGGAAUCGCUAGUAAUCGUGAAUCAGAAUGUCACGGUGAAUACGUUCCCGGGCCUUGUACACACCGCCCGU